CUCAAUGAAAAUUCAAUAGCCGCAAUACUCUUGUGCUAAGGUAGCAUAAUCAUUUGUCUUUUAAUUAAAGACUAGAAUAAAAGAUUUAAUAUUUUUAUUUCUUUCUAAUAUAUUAUAUAUUAAACCUAUUAUAAAUAUAAAAAAAUAUUUAUAAUUUAAAAAGACGACAAGACCCUAUUGAACUUCACUAAAGUUUAACUGGGGUAGUAAAUUAAAUAAUAUUUUAAUUAAAAUUCAAAAACUUCUAAUAAAAUUAAAAAUCAAGUUACCAUAGGGAUAACAGCGCAAUAAUUUUUUUAAGAUCUUAUUUUAAAAAUUGUUUUCGACCUCGAUGUUGAAUUAAUAUUCUAUUAAAUGCAAUAAUUUAAUAAGAAAGUCUGUUCGACUU
Molecule: ribosomal RNA, 388 nt
Filed under: Draconarius anthonyi
Lineage: Eukaryota; Metazoa; Arthropoda; Arachnida; Araneae; Agelenidae
Description: partial 16S ribosomal RNA
Source: RNAcentral